This 334-nucleotide unclassified non-coding RNA is filed under the name soil metagenome. RNAcentral's name for it is "partial contains 5.8S ribosomal RNA, internal transcribed spacer 2, and large subunit ribosomal RNA". The stretch from base 1 to 120 matches the Rfam family "5.8S ribosomal RNA", at positions 35 to 154 of the family's 154-position model. The record is from RNAcentral.
GAUGAAGAACGCAGCGAAAUGCGAUAAGUAGUGUGAAUUGCAGAAUUCAGUGAAUCAUCGAAUCUUUGAACGCACAUUGCGCCCCCUGGUAUUCCGGGGGGCAUGCCUUUUCGAGCGUCAUUUCAACCCUCAAGCUCUGCUUGGUAUUGGGCCUUCGCCGGGUGACCGGCGGGCCUUAAAGUCAGUGGCGGCGCCGUUGGGUCCUGAACGUAGUAACAUACCUCUCGUUACAGGGUCCCCGCGUGCUUCUGCCAUUAAACCCCAAACUUUCUAUGGUUGACCUCGGAUCAGGUAGGGAUACCCGCUGAACUUAAGCAUAUCAAUAAGCGGAGGA